Molecule: transfer RNA, 74 nt
Filed under: bacterium
Lineage: Bacteria
Also listed under: 1 other name
Description: tRNA-Asn
Rfam family: tRNA
About the family: Transfer RNA (tRNA) molecules are approximately 80 nucleotides in length. Their secondary structure includes four short double-helical elements and three loops (D, anti-codon, and T loops). Further hydrogen bonds mediate the characteristic L-shaped molecular structure. tRNAs have two regions of fundamental functional importance: the anti-codon, which is responsible for specific mRNA codon recognition, and the 3' end, to which the tRNAs corresponding amino acid is attached (by aminoacyl-tRNA synthetases). tRNAs cope with the degeneracy of the genetic code in two manners: having more than one tRNA (with a specific anti-codon) for a particular amino acid; and 'wobble' base-pairing, i.e. permitting non-standard base-pairing at the 3rd anti-codon position.
Source: RNAcentral
UCCGAAGUAGCUCAGCCGGUCAGAGCAGCUGACUGUUAAUCAGCGGGUCGCCAGUUCGAAUCUGGCCUUCGGAG